RNAcentral lists this ribosomal RNA (465 nucleotides) under uncultured bacterium. Its description in RNAcentral is "partial 16S ribosomal RNA". It matches the Rfam family "Bacterial small subunit ribosomal RNA", at positions 28 to 507 of the family's 1533-position model. The record is from RNAcentral.
GACGAACGCUGGCGGCGUGCUUAACACAUGCAAGUCGUACGGUAAGGCCCUUUCGGGGGUCCACGAGUGGCGAACGGGUGAGUAACACGUGAGUAACCUGCCCACAACUUUGGGAUAACGCUAGGAAACUGGUGCUAAUACUGGAUAUGUGCUCCUGCUGCAUGGGGGGGGUUGGAAAGCUCCGGCGGUUGUGGAUGGACUCGCGGCCUAUCAGCUUGUUGGUGGGGUAGUGGCCUACCAAGGCGGCGACGGGUAGCCGGCCUGAGAGGGUGACCGGCCACAUUGGGACUGAGAUACGGCCCAGACUCCUACGGGAGGCAGCAGUGGGGAAUAUUGCACAAUGGGCGCAAGCCUGAUGCAGCAACGCCGCGUGCGGGAUGACGGCCUUCGGGUUGUAAACCGCUUUCAGCAGGGACGAAGCUUUUUGUGACGGUACCUGCAGAAGAAGCACCGGCUAACUACGUG